RNAcentral lists this ribosomal RNA (761 nucleotides) under Prevotella melaninogenica. Its description in RNAcentral is "bacterial SSU rRNA". It matches the Rfam family "Bacterial small subunit ribosomal RNA", at positions 28 to 776 of the family's 1533-position model. The record is from RNAcentral. Lineage: Bacteria; Pseudomonadati; Bacteroidota; Bacteroidia; Bacteroidales; Prevotellaceae.
GAUGAACGCUAGCUACAGGCUUAACACAUGCAAGUCGAGGGGAAACGGCAUUAAGUGCUUGCACUUUUUGGACGUCGACCGGCGCACGGGUGAGUGACGCGUAUCCAACCUUCCCAUGACUAAGGGAUAACCUGCCGAAAGGCAGACUAAUACCUUAUGGUCUUCACUGACGGCAUCAGAUGUGAAGUAAAGAUUUAUCGGUUAUGGAUGGGGAUGCGUCUGAUUAGCUUGUUGGCGGGGUAACGGCCCACCAAGGCAACGAUCAGUAGGGGUUCUGAGAGGAAGGUCCCCCACAUUGGAACUGAGACACGGUCCAAACUCCUACGGGAGGCAGCAGUGAGGAAUAUUGGUCAAUGGGCGAGAGCCUGAACCAGCCAAGUAGCGUGCAGGAUGACGGCCCUAUGGGUUGUAAACUGCUUUUGUAUGGGGAUAAAGUCAAUCACGUGUGAUUGUUUGCAGGUACCAUACGAAUAAGGACCGGCUAAUUCCGUGCCAGCAGCCGCGGUAAUACGGAAGGUCCGGGCGUUAUCCGGAUUUAUUGGGUUUAAAGGGAGCGUAGGCUGGAGAUUAAGUGUGUUGUGAAAUGUAGACGCUCAACGUCUGACUUGCAGCGCAUACUGGUUUCCUUGAGUACGCACAACGUUGGCGGAAUUCGUCGUGUAGCGGUGAAAUGCUUAGAUAUGACGAAGAACUCCGAUUGCGAAGGCAGCUGACGGGAGCGCAACUGACGCUGAAGCUCGAAGGUGCGGGUAUCGAACAGG